This 282-nucleotide ribosomal RNA is filed under the name Elassoma okefenokee (Okefenokee pygmy sunfish). RNAcentral describes it as "partial 12S ribosomal RNA". Lineage: Eukaryota; Metazoa; Chordata; Actinopteri; Centrarchiformes; Elassomatidae. The record is from RNAcentral.
GGUUUACGACCUCGAUGUUGGAUCAGGAUUAGAUCCACCUAGAGGAGCCUGUUCUAAAACCGAUAACCCCCGUUAACCUCACCCNNCACUACGUUUAUNCCCGCCUAUAUACCGCCGUCGUCAGUUUACCCUUGAAGGACUAAUAGUAAGCAAAAUUGGUACCAACCUAAANNACGUUAGGUCGAGNGUGUAGUCCANUGGAGAGGAAAGAAAUGGGCUACAUUUGCUGAUUNUAGCANAAAACGGAGAAAAAUAAAAGUNUUUGUCUAAAGGAGGAUUUAG